This 2180-nucleotide long non-coding RNA is filed under the name Lynx pardinus (Iberian lynx). Lineage: Eukaryota; Metazoa; Chordata; Mammalia; Carnivora; Felidae. The record is from RNAcentral.
CAGCGUGCGGACACCCCAGCCACGCCCAUCAUCCGUGCGGAAGAUGCAGAGGUCAUAGCGGAUGCCUUUCUGUACCACGCGGUUGGGGCAGUCAUAGCCGCAGCGGCAGCGGGAGUUGCACUCGUAGAUGGGCAGCCCGGCGCGCAGCCGCACCUGACCCUGGUCAUUAUAGGCAAACUUGUGCAGUGAUGCCCCAGGGCAGCAGCCUCCAGCGGGUGCCCACAGACAGUCCUGGCACUCACAACCCACUGCCACCUGGUUGAGGGUGAUGCCCUCACCCACACGGUACUCGUUGAUGUAUACGAAAGCCCGCGGGGGGCCGUCCAGGUCCACCUCGUUCUCCACCGUGAUGCGUCCCAGGUGGCUGCGUUUGGCAUUGAGCUCCUGCUCCCAGCGCCGGAGCGCCCGCCUCUGCUUGGCCUUCUGUACCAGGUAGUUGGCCAAGCUUGGGUCCAGGUGCCGAGGUGGCUUUGACCGUUGGUGCCGCCGGAGCAGCUCCCUUUCUAAGUCCUUGUGGAACUGCUUGAGAAUGCGCACACACUUGAGAUUCUGCCGUGGCUCCCAGGUGCUCUCUGAGUCUGGGUAUCCACGCCAUUUUACCAGGUAAUACUCUUGUUCCUGUUGGGGGACCAGGGGAUGGAGGGGGGGCACCAUAAGUGGCAAAACCCUUGGACCAGCACUCCUGGGACUGACAUCCCAAAACCAGUGGAGAGCACCCAAACCAUCCCCUCAUCUCUUCUGGAAUGAUUCCAUGCAGUGGUUAAAAAGCAUGGGCUCUAGGGGUGCCUGGGUGGCUCAGUUGAGCAGCUGACUCUUGAUUUCGGCUCAGGUCACGAUCCCAGGGUCAAGGGAUUGAGCCCUCUGUCAGGCUGCGCCAGGAGCAUGGCACUUGCUUGAGAUUCUCUCUGUCUUGGUCUCUGUCUCUCUCUCUCCUCUACACCCCACCCCGCCAUAUAAAGAAAAAAACAUGGGCUCUAGACUGAGUAUCCCUAGGUUCAAAUCCCAUUCUCCCCCUUAUUAUUGCCCAAAUUCCAAGUUUUAAUUUAACCUGCUUCCUCCUCUCUCUUUCCUCUCAUCAGCUCCCUCCCUCUAGCUGUUCAGGCCCCAACUCUUGGGAGUCAUGACUGACUUCUCACUCCCACAUCCACCCUCAGUAAACCCUGUCAGCUCACCUUCACACUACAUCCAGAAUCCGACCACUUCAAACCAUCGUCACUGCCACCAGUGUCAACCCUUGCCUGGAUUGCGGUAGUAUCCUCCUCGCUGGCCCCCCCCCAGGUCUACCCUGGCCCCUACAGUCCAUUCCCCACUCAGCAGCCAGAGGGAUCUUUUCUUGCAGAGAGGCAGCUAUACGAUACUGUUUAACUACACAGAUUCUACAGUCAGACCCUCAAUCUGCUGCUCCCUGGCUGUGUGGCCUUAGGCAAGUUAUUUAACUGUGCUGGGCCUCAGUUUCCUCAUCUAUAAAUAAGAAAAAAAGCUAACAUUUUUACAGUAUUCAGUAUGUAGUAGGUACUGUUCUAACCACUUUAAUCCUCAUAACUCUAUAGGAGCUAGACAUGGAUAGUCAUCAUCUCCACUUUACAGAUGAGGAAAAUGAACCACAGAGAAUCUGUGUAAGUAUCCCGGGGUUACAGGACCAAAACCUGAACCCAAGCAUGCUGGCUCCACUCUUUAUCCUGCCAUUACCUCCUCUGGCACUGGUAAUAGUUCCCAUUUUGCAUUGUUGUUGGGAGGAUUAAAGCAGUUUCUGAGAGGAAGUGCCCAGCCCACUCAAAGUGCUCAAUAACUGCUAGCUAUCAUCAUCUCUAGUCCUGGACUCAGCAUCUCAAUCUUUGGUCUGUAUUCCUGUGGAGGUGGCAAGAGAGACUUAUUUUAUUUGGGGAUUCAUUCUGGCUCCUGCCUCCCUGAGGAAGCCACUUAGUUUCCUCACCUGUAAAACAAGGAUGAUCUAAGAAGGCCUACUAAUCCUAAUUUUUUAAGAUCAGAGGAGAAAACUCCCUUUGGAAACAGAUGCAGGCAGUGGGGAGCAAGGGGGCAGUAAGCCAGCUUCCUUGACACACCCCUGCCCUGGCCAUGGUCACCCCAGACUCACGCGGAUCUUUUUGUAAUCACACAGGUACUCGACUUCAAAGUCAUAGAGAUUCCUCUUGGAGAUGCCGAGGGCAGGGCAGGAGAGC